CGGCAAUGGAGGAAACUCUGACCGAGCAACGCCGCGUGAACGAUGAAGUAUUUCGGUACGUAAAGUUCUUUUAUUAGGGAAGAAUAAAUGAUGGAAAAAUCAUUCUGACGGUACCUAAUGAAUAAGCCCCGGCUAACUAUGUGCCAGCAGCCGCGGUAAUACAUAGGGGGCAAGCGUUAUCCGGAAUUAUUGGGCGUAAAGGGUGCGUAGGCUGUUAAAUAAGUUUAUGGUCUAAGUGCAAUGCUCAACAUUGUGAUGCUAUAAAAACUGUUUAGCUAGAGUAAGAUAGAGGCAAGUGGAAUUCCAUGUGUAGUGGUAAAAUGCGUAAAUAUAUGGAGGAACACCAGUAGCGAAGGCGGCUUGCUGGGUCUUUACUGACGCUGAGGCACGAAAGCGUGGGGAGCAAACAGGAUUAGAUACCCUGGUAGUCCACGCCGUAAACGAUGAGUACUAAACGUUGGGUAAAACCAGUGUUGAAGUUAACACAUUAAGUACUCCGCCUGAGUAGUACGUACGCAAGUAUGAAACUUAAAGGAAUUGACGGGACUCCGCACAAGCGGUGGAUCAUGUUGUUUAAUUCGAAGGUACCCGAAAAACCUCACCAGGUCUUGACAUGCUUCUGCAAAGCUGUAGAAACACAGUGGAGGUUAUCAGUUGCACAGGUGGUGCAUGGUUGUCGUCAGCUCGUGUCGUGAGAUGUUGGGUUAAGUCCCGCAACGAGCGCAACCCUUAUUGUUAGUUGCCAGCACGUAAUGGUGGGGACUUUAGCAAGACUGCCAGUGAUAAAUUGGAGGAAGGUGGGGACGACGUCAAAUCAUCAUGCCCCUUAUGACCUGGGCUACAAACGUGAUACAAUGGCUGUUACAAAGGGUAGCUGAA
This 879-nucleotide ribosomal RNA is filed under the name Carrot aster yellows phytoplasma. Its description in RNAcentral is "bacterial SSU rRNA". It matches the Rfam family "Bacterial small subunit ribosomal RNA", at positions 366 to 1254 of the family's 1533-position model. The record is from RNAcentral. Lineage: Bacteria; Bacillati; Mycoplasmatota; Mollicutes; Acholeplasmatales; Acholeplasmataceae.